Molecule: ribosomal RNA, 1474 nt
Filed under: metagenome
Description: bacterial SSU rRNA
Rfam family: Bacterial small subunit ribosomal RNA
Source: RNAcentral
AGAGUUUGAUCAUGGCUCAGAGCGAACGCUAGCGGCGGGCUUAACACAUGCAAGUCGAACGCGAGUUUUCGGACUCGAGUGGCGGACGGGUGAGUAACACGUGGGUAACGUACCUCUAGGCGGGGGAUAACCCAGGGAAAUUUGGGCUAAUACCGCAUGUGCCCCUUCGGGGGUGAAAGGCUUCGGCCACCUGGAGAUCGGCCCGCGGCCCAUUAUUUGAUCCUUGUUGGUGGGGUAAUGGCCUACCAAGGGUACGAUGGGUAGCUGGUCUGAGAGGAUGAUCAGCCACACUGGGACUGAGACACGGCCCAGACUCCUACGGGAGGCAGCAGUGGGGAAUAUUGGACAAUGGGCGAAAGCCUGAUCCAGCUACGCCGCGUGGGUGAAGAAGGCCUUCGGGUUGUAAAGCUCUGUCGGGAGGAACGAAGCCUUAGGGUUGACGGUACCUCGCAAGAAAGCACCGGCUAACUCCGUGCCAGCAGCCGCGGUAAUACGGAGGGUGCAAGCGUUGCUCGGAAUCACUGGGCGUAAAGCGACCGCAGGCGGCCUGAUAAGUCGGAUGUGAAAGCCCUGGGCUCAACCCAGGAACUGCAUUCGAAACUGUCAGGCUUGAGUUCGGGAGAGGGAAGUGGAACUCCUGGUGUAGGGGUGAAAUUCGUUGAUAUCAGGAGGAACACCGGCGGCGAAGGCGGCUUUCUGGCCCGAAACUGACGCUCAUGGUCGAAAGCGUGGGGAGCAAACAGGAUUAGAUACCCUGGUAGUCCACGCCGUAAACGAUGCUUGCUAGGUGUUGGUGGUAUUCACCCCAUCAGUGCCGAAGUUAACGCAUUAAGCAAACCGCCUGGGGAGUACGGCCGCAAGGCUAAAACUCAAAGGAAUUGACGGGGGCCCGCACAAGCGGUGGAGUAUGUGGUUUAAUUCGACGCAACGCGAAGAACCUUACCUGGCCUUGAAAUCCCAGGAAUCCCUAUGAAAGUAGGGCGUGCCUCCUCACGGAGGAACCUGGUGACAGGUGCUGCAUGGCUGUCGUCUGCUCGUGUCGUGAGAUGUUCGGUUAAGUCCGGCAACGAGCGCAACCCCUGUCGUUAGUUGCCAGCAUUUCGGAUGGGCACUCUAGCGAGACUCCCGGUGAUAAGCCGGCGGAAGAUGGGGACGACGUCAAGUCCUCAUGGCCCUUAUGGCCAGGGCUACACACGUACUACAAUGGCGACUACAGUGGGCUGCGAUGCCGCGAGGUGGAGCUAAUCCCAAAAAAGUCGCCUCAGUUCGGAUUGGAGUCUGCAACUCGACUCCAUGAAGUCGGAAUCGCUAGUAAUCGUGGAUCAGCAUGCCACGGUGAAUACGUUCCCGGGCCUUGUACACACCGCCCGUCACACCACGAAAGUUGGCUGGACCCGAAGUCGUUGACCCAACCCGCAAGGGAGGGAGGCGCCAACGGUCUGGUUGAUGAUUGGGGUGAAGUCGUAACAAGGUA